AUUGAACGCUGGCGGCAGGCCUAACACAUGCAAGUCGAGCGGUGUGGCGGACGGGCGAGUAAUGCCUAGGUAUCUGCCUGGCAGUGGGGGAUAACGUCCGGAAACGGGAGCUGAUAUCGCAUACUUCCAGAUGUGCCUUGGUCGGAUUAGCUAGUUGGUGGUGUAAAGGCCUACCAAGGCGACGAUCCGUAACUGGUCUGAGAGGCUGAUCAGUCAAACUGGAACGGAGACACGGUCCAGACUCCUACGAGAGGCAGCAGUGGGGAAUAUUGGACAAUGGGCGAAAGCCUGAUACAGCCAUGCCGCGUGAGUGAAGAAGGUCUUCGGAUUGUAAAGCACUUUAAGUAGGGAAGCGUUACCAACAGAGUAAGCACCGGCUAACUUCGUGCCAGCAGCCGCGGUAAUUC
Molecule: ribosomal RNA, 407 nt
Filed under: uncultured bacterium
Lineage: Bacteria
Description: partial 16S ribosomal RNA
Rfam family: Bacterial small subunit ribosomal RNA
Source: RNAcentral